Molecule: long non-coding RNA, 14803 nt
Organism: Marmota monax (woodchuck)
Lineage: Eukaryota; Metazoa; Chordata; Mammalia; Rodentia; Sciuridae
Exons: 2
Source: RefSeq, a predicted model, not a curated record
UUAUUUUUAUGUGGUGCUAAGAAUCGAACUCAGUGUGUCAUGAGUACUCUACCACUGAGCCAAAGCCACAGCCACCCUUUUUACCUUUUAUUCCGAUACAGGGCCAUGCUGAGUUGCUGAGGCUACCUUGAACUUGCAAUCCUCCUGCCUCAGCCUCCUAAGCAGCUGGGAUUAUAGCUGACAUCACCAUGCCCUGCUACACUUCUGCCUUUGAUGUCCCACAGUUAUGCCCUUACUGGGAGUUGUUGAUAUUCUGAGUUGAUGGAGUUUCAGAUUGAGUGUAUAUGUUGGCAAAAGUUGGGGUGACCUGGUGACUGGGCUGAGUGGGCCCUAUAGGAAGAGUGGUACGCUUCUAAAAGUAACUGGGUAGUCCUUGACUAUCUUGUAGCAUCAAAAAUUGAAAUGUCAUUCCCAUUUUACUAAUCUCCUGAUAAAUUUUUUUUUCUGUGUGGAAAAGACAGGUCUAUACACUCCUCAGUAGCUAUUUAAGCUUAUUUUAACUCACAGGCUGUGGCUGAGGCAGGCAUUUCUUUUAAGACCUGGAUGUACCAUACUGUGUCUUAGAGUUUUAUAUGCCUCAUUUUCUGGUGUGGUUCUCAUUUUGCCAGUAUCUCCCACCGUCUCCUCCAGCAAAAUCUGUCAUAGCUAGAUGGCUUUCCACUCUACCGUUUAGUUAGAUGGCCUACAGUAGAGAGGUGGAUUCAGAAAAGAAACAUAGAUGCUGUCAACUCAACACUGGGGUCCUACCUAGGGAAAUAUUACAUGAAGGCUUUUGGUGUGAUGUGUAACACGUUUGUAGAAAAAGUAGAGUUCUGUAUCCCAAGCCAUAUUCACUUGAUGAUACUAUUCAUUGACACCUGUUGCUCUUGUCAUUGCUUAGAUUUUCCCCUUUAGUUUGAAUAGUUCAGUGAACUAAAUAACAAGAGCCAAGCUCUGGAUUUGAAUGUUAUAGAACCAAAGCCUCCAAACAUUAUUGUUUUUGUUUGUACAACUGAGGAAUAGUCCCAUUGAGAAAAGUAAAUAUGAUUUAUUAAGGUCUUAGGGUUUACUGUAGGGCUUCUUGGGCAAAUUUACUAAUGUUUCUUCCACUUAUUCUUGACUGCAUUUGAAAAUAGCUACCCCUUCCUUCCAGCAACUUGUUACCUCCUUUAUUCUGUUUCCCCACCUCUCCCUUUUUAUUCUUGCCCCAUCUUCUAAAGUAUUUCCCCUGAUAAGUGCACCCCACCCUACUCAUAGUUUCAAAUAUUUCAUCUACACUGAUGCCUCAACAUUUUUAACUUUUCACCCAGGUUUCUCAACUGACUCUAGGUCAAUCCCCCUGGCUAUCUGUCCUACCAUCAGCUCACAGUUAGACAUCCUAUGUCUGUAAUAUUACCAUCUCUUCUACAUCCCCAACUUUUAGUCACUCAGGAUUAAAAGCAAAGUCAUUAUUUAGCUUUGAUUCUUUCCUUGCAUCUUCUUCUAAGGACCAUCUCUCUUCCCUGUGAAAUGUCUCCUACACUCAUUCAACUCAAUUUCUACUGCCAUUACUUUAAUCCAGGUCCUCAUGUUUUAAUGCUUUGGCCACUCUAUCAACCUUCUAACAGAUCUCCCAAGUAUUCCCCAAACUCCUACUCUCCACUCACACCAACUGACACCAACUGCUCACUUUCCACAAAAGCUGGUUCCAUCAUAUCACCCUCCUCACAAAUCUUCAAAGACUCCCCUUGCCAAUAGGGUCAAGUCUAAAUUGCUCAGCUUGGCAUUCAGAGCUUUGGAACUGCUCCAUGUGUUUGUAUAAACUUAUUCCCAUCAUUUAUGUACCUACACUUUAGACAGACCUGUCUUUUCUACCUGUGAGUGUGCCUCCCCACUCUUGAUGACAGCCCUUAGAACAAAGGAAAAAGAGAUCUAGAGCCAGGAGUUGAAGGCCUGGGUUAGGAAAGGAAGUGAACUCACAGCAUCCCAUUAAGGCUGUGACUUGAGGGGGAAGCUGUGACAGAAGGUGCUCUAAAAGUGCCAUUAUAAUGAUGAGAAGUUGCAGAAGGAAUGGGGGAGGGAGCUGGAGUAUGAACUUUAUUGGUUGAUUAGCCUGAAUUAGACAAACAGGGUUUCAUUUAAAUUGGCCUGAAGUUUCUUGGAGGCACUGCUAUUUAAUCCCAUCUCUCUUUGAAUUUCUGUCUCCUAGGAAGACAGGCCACAGAAGUAGGCAGCUGACUAUAGGAUUCUAGGGAAUAUCCAGCAUUUAAUACAGAUUUGGCACUGAAAAGUUAGGGCUCCUUUCUGUAUCUAUCUUUUUUUUCUUUCCUCCCUCCCUGCCUCCCUUCCUUCUUUAGAAUUCAGGGGCAUUUAACCACUGAACCACAUCCCCUUCCUGUAUUCUUUCUUAAAUUAGAAUGCUGGUGAUGUACAGAGGAAAAUUUCCAUUUUUCUUGAAAUCUCACACAGAUGCAUAGACAUCAAAAACUCCACUUCAUAGUGAUGCUUUUGAGCUGUAUGUUAGAGGCAGAUUUAGACCAUUGCUGGGUACUUUUAAUAAGUGGCCAUAGUAACCCUUUCAGGUAGAUCACACCAUCCACUGCCAUGUCAUAUGGCAAGCUGUCUUGCUUUGGCAGCUCUGUAGAGAGUGCUAGACUGGAAGGCAGUACAAUUAUACACAUGACCUCAGGCAAGUCACUUAACCUUUUAUGGUGUCAGUUUCCUCAUCUGUUAAAUGAAAGGAUUAGACUGGAUUAUUUCGAUUAUUUCCUUUUUUCCAGUACAGGACCUUUCCAGUGGUCCUGUACUGGAAAAAAGUAUAGGAGAGAUUGUAUAACUGAAAGGCAGGAAGUGGAAUAAUUGAGGAUUAGAAUUCAGGGUAAUUUCAAAAUUACUUUAAACUUCAAAAAACAGUUCCUAGAUGUGCUUAAUGUGCAUAUCACACACUUAGCAGUUAAAUGUGUAAUUGUCACCCUGUCUUAACAAUGUUGUUUCCACUAACAAAUGUUAGGUACAGAGUCCUACUGAUGAUUACUUUGAAGUAAUGGACAGAGUGACUAAUUUUGUUUUUCUGUUGAGAUUUUCAGAAAUUAACGUAUUCCUUUUGUCAUGUAAUAAACAGCUCAUAAAAUGUUUUGAGACUUUAAAAAAAUAAUUAGUUGGGCUGGAGCUGGGGCUGUGGCUCAGCAAUAAUGCACUUGCCUGGCAUGUAUGAGGCACUAGGUUCAAUUCUCAGCACCACAUAUAAAUAAAUGAAGUAAACAUCUUCAACAACUAAAAAAAAUUAGUCUAGGGGAAAGAGAUACUGUCUAAUCUUUAGAAAUUCCAUAAGUGGUCAUUCUGCUACUUCUUAUUUUCAACUCUUUUUUCAGUGUUUAGUUGGCUUUCUUCUCCCUAUGCUUUUUUUUUUCUCCAAGCCCACCUUUGUUAAUUUUUAUUUUGCCAUGUCAUAUGGCAAGCUGUCCUACUUUGGCAGCUCUGUAGAGAGUGCUAGACUGGAAGGUAUAAAAAGAAAAAAAAGUAUAAAGACUUUUAUUAAAAGUCUCAUAUUAGAAGGCAAAUAUUAAGCAAAUGUGCAUAUAAUCUGCACAGUACCAUUUUUUUCCUGAUAGUAGCUACAACUGAAACAGUCUGGUGUGGAAAAUGAACCCCCUCCUCACACACACAGUGAUUAAACCAGGAUCUCAAACAUGCUGGGCAAACACUCUACCACUGAGCUACAUCCCCCACCCCAGGGUAAAGGAAACUUAACAAUUAUAUCCUACCAAGCUUUGUAUUCUAUGACAUUUCUGCUGCAACAGCACUGCAAUUGACUCUUGCACAGAGGAGAAAAGUUUCUAAAACCUAUUGGUUUCUACAUGUUAACAUCCACUACUGAAAAUCAAAUUUCUUUUCAUCUUACCAUAUUUUCCAGUGAACUUUUUUUUUUUUUGCUGGACUGGGAAUGGAACCCAAGGCCUUGCAUUUAUUAGACAAGUGCUCUACCACUGAGCUGCACCCCCAGUCCUCCAGUAAACUCUGGAGAGUUGUGCUGCUUCCUACUUUUAUUCAAAUUCCUAGGGUAGGAAUUGGAAAACUUCACAAAAGUAUUUUGAAAAUUUGCUAUAUUAAUCUUUAUGAUCAUUCAGCCACUGAAAACAUUCAUAGGUAUUAUAUAGACAAUGUGUGAUGAUGAACUGUGUCCAUGGAAUCAAAAUGUGCAUCAUUUCUUUGCCAGGUUCACUUAAAAUAUGUGUUCCUAUGAGCCUUUUUAAAAAAUCUUUUUGUAGUUGUGUAUGGACAGAAUGCCUUUAUUUUAUUUGUUUAUUUUUCCAUGGUGCUGAGGAUUGGACCCACUGCCUCACACAUGCUAGGCAAGCACUCUGUCACUGAGCUAGAGCCCCACCCCCCUUAUGAGUCUUUAAUCAUUUGCUGAAAAACAAUUCCUAGGUCCUAGACUGUCAAACAAGUUUCUGUUAUAUAUUAGAUAACUUCUUAAGAAUUUUUUUAAGUAGAAGACUCAAGUAAGGUAGACUUCUUUUAUGUAAUCUUGAUUGAUAAUAUUUCCUGAAGCACGUGAACAGAAAUUGGUAGAUUGAACCCCAGAAUGAUAGCAUUUAGAGCUCACUGGGAGAAAACUCAUUUAAUCAAGUAAAAUGGACUUUGCACGUUUUAGCAAGAUCCAGACACCAAGAAGGGCCCAUGGGGAGUGACUUUGACAAAAGGGAAUCCAAGAGAACUGGAUAGUUUUAAAACAAGAAUUUUAUAAGAAGAAACUAUACUAGUACAUAUAAAUUAAAGAAUAGUGACAUGCCUUCUGUGCCUAAAAAUGUUAUCAGUACAUUGAGAUACUUGAUCAGUACUUGAGUCAAGUAAGAAAACUACAAAAAAUGGAAAAUCCAAUCAGGCCAAAUUACUAGAGUAUUAAGGGGAAAAACUAUGUCAGACAGGGUCAGAAAAUAUAAAAAGGGAGUUUGAAAAGGAGGUGCAAAAAGAAAGAUAAGUCUAUUCUUGUAAUGGUAAAGCUUCUUCCUAACAUGUUCUUCAUGAUUUUAAUAACCUCCUUUAAAGGUGUAAGCAUAUUUUGAAAAGAUUUUUUAACUUUUUAAGGUGAUUCAGCUCUCAGUGUUCUAUUAAGAGGGCAGGUAAACCUUGUCUUGUAUCUAUCACAAUUGGAAUCCAUUUUAAUUGCAAGAAGAAAAUCCUUGCCAUAGAAAAGUUUUUUUAUAAUAAAGAAAUUUAUACUUUUAUGGAAGGCCAUAUUUCAAUGUUAAAACUCUUAAAGUAUUAUUUUUUAUAAUGUCAAAGGUAUGAUUAGUAGAACAUUAAUGCAAUUAUACAUCUGAAGUAAUCUGCAUUGCUAAAUUUAUUGUGAGUAUUACUGAAUGAUUCUAUAUGUCACAGAGUGCAUUUUAAAAUCAUUGAUCCUUCAAUUUCUACAUGGAAUCAAUUAUUUGAAGUUCAAAAUAAAAACACAACAAAAGUAAAGAAAGUUUCACCUCUUGAUCUUUUCUAAGCUUCUCUGAAAUGCACAUGUCUUUUGUGUAAGUAUGACAAUGUUUAAAAAGUUGUUUGUUAUCUUAAUGCCAUAGAAAAGUUUUAACUUGCAUAAAUGUUCAGUAGAAGGCUAAGGGCAAAGAUAAAGAGAAAAGUCAUGUGUCUCCUUGGGAGCCAGUUGAUUGGAAAAGCAGGACUUCUUAUUUUUCACUUCAUUCCAUUUUACUAGUCAGUUUAACAACACAGGAACAGUUUGUAAUGACAAAGAUGUUAGAAUGUUAAAUUGAAGAAGAAAGGUAAGAUACACUGUUAAAAUUGAUUUUUUCCAGUUGUCUUUGUUGUUGCAGAGCAAGUUUCCCCAAACUUAUAGAGAGAAAAUGAAAAAAGGAAAAUAGUUUAUCUUUCACCAAGAUAAUUAAUGGCCCAGCUAAAUUUAGACUCUCCAGCUUUAACUUGUGACAUCUGGAAAAACAAUCCAGUCUGUUAUUCCUCUAGUUUAUAACCAUCUAGUAAGAAGCCCAAAGUCCAGAAUAGCUCUCAAGGUGACCUUAUGAAGGGCAAAUAUUAUCAGGCUGAUUUUAUCUCCCUUAAUAAAAGAGGUCUGUUGAGAAGGGAAAGUUACAUAUAUUACCUGUGCAUGUCAGUGACACCUGUUAUUCCUUUAUCACAAAGGGCUUUCUGACAAGCUGGGAAGACUUGGGCUGGAUUGUCCCACUCUUCAGGGGAACAUCCAAAUAGGCUGAGGGGCAAGUGUGCCUCAAGUGGUCUGUGUAGUGGCUCAGCAUCAAGUUGGGGGCACAGCAAGUGGUGCCUUCCAGGGAGUUCUCUCCCUGUUGUAAUGUACAAGGAUACCAUUUUUGUAAAGAUCCACUUCCAGUCCCUUUAAAUAGCUACUACCCCAGAGAAUCUUAGCUAUUCAGUUAUUUUUUUUUAAUUUACAUUUUUGUAAGGAGGACUUUAAGUACAUUUUGUAAGGAGGACUUCUUGUGUGCAAAGUUAGGUGAAGCUGGCCUAAAUUUCUUUUAUCACUGGCCUAAAUUUCUUUUAUCAGUUAACUUGGAAGAGAAAUUAAUCAUAUGUUUAUCAAACUUUUGCAUUAUACUCAAGCAAUGUCAGCAGUAUUUUGUACCCCCCCCCCAUUUCAAAUGACCUUUGGAGCAAGAGUGACAAUUUUCAGAAAGGGCUCUAACACCCCUCCUACAUCUUCUUCAAGGACAGUUGAUCUGCUUUUAUCUCUUUUACUUGCUUAUUGUUCCUGGCAAGAUUUUGAUGAAGGAAAGAGUUCCUCAUUUUUAAAAAGUAAAAAUAAAUAAAAAUCAAUGAAUCUGAGAAAUAGUCUGGCCAAAAUGGGAUGAAGUUCAAGAAGUCUUGUUUCGAAAAGUAGAAAUAUUGCAAAAAAAUUCAUCCCACCUUUGUAUACAUAUGAGAGUUCAGCUACCUAAUAGAUGAUGAUGGGAAGAUUCUUUACCAGUAUUCCAGCUAGUAAAUGUAAAAAUAUUUAUAGAAUUAGAACAUAACACUCUUACAACCCUUAAUGAAAUACCAAUGUACAUGAUCACCUUCAUUGAAUGCAGAUAUUUGACAUAAUAAGGCAUAUGGAAAAUUUUAUAAUCAAUUGAUCAGUCUCCAUAACACUUGAACCUAGUGAUCAGUCAAAAUGUCCCAAGAGGAAACAAAAUUGGACAUAUAAGCUUCCUGGUAAGACUACAGGAAUGAACAACACUUCAUUUCAGGUACUUUUACCAAAAAAAAAAAAAAAUCUGUAUUUAGCAUAGCCAAUUAAUCUAAUGGAGACUUAUCAGGGGAGAAGGGGUGUCUAAAGGAACAUGAUACUAAGAUACAAUCAGCAAAAUCCACAAUGCAGAACACACACGCAAAAGGUCCAUAUUCUUAAGCAAAUAACAUCAGAAGGAAUGAUGGCUAAUUUUGUGUGUCAACUUCACGGGGCCACGGCGUGCCCAGACAUUUGGUCGAUUGUUGUUUUGGAUUUUUCUGUAAGAUGUUUCUAGAUGAUAGUAAAUUUGAAUUCGUGAGUUGAAGAAAGCAGUUUGCCCUUCCAGAUGUGGAUAGGCAUAUCUAGUCAAUUAAAUACCUGAAUAGAACAAAAAGGCUGAAUGAGAGGGAACUUUCUGACUGACAGCAUGUGUCAAGAUAUCAGUCUUUCCUGCCUUCAAUCCUGAAUGAAAAAUUGGCAUUUGGAUUAGAAUUUAUCUCACUGAUUCUCCUGAAUCUGCAGCCUUUAGAGUUGAACUCUUCAGUCUCCUAACCCAUAGAAUUUCUUUUGCUUAUACCUUGCUGACUGCAGAUUAUGGGAUUUCUAAGCUUUCAUAAUCACGUGAGCCAUUCUUCAUAUCAUACUCAAACUUCAGAAAAUCAAAGAUGAAAAGGAUUUCAACAUCACCAGAGGGAAAACCCAUUACCUAUAGAGAAGCAAAAAUCCGAAGUACACUUGAAUUCUUCUCAUGAAAAAAGAAGGGAAUGGAGUAAAAUAUUUAAAGGAUUGAAUAAAAAUGCCAUCAAUCUAAAAUUCUAUAUCCUAUGAGACUAUCCUUGUGAAGGAAAAAGGAAAAGAAGAUUUUUCUUGGAAAAACAAAAGUUGAGGGAAUACAUUGCUAGAAAACCUGCCUUGGAUGAGAUAUGAAGAGAAGUUCAUAACUGUGUGUGGGGGUGCAAGCCUGGAAUCCCAGCAGCUCGGGAGGCUCAGACAGGAGCAUCACGAAUUCAAAGACAGUCUCAGCAAACAUGAGGCGCUAAGCAACUCAGUGAGACCCUGUCUCUAAAUAAAAUACAAAAUAGGGCUGGGGAUGUGGCUCAGUGGUCGAAUGCCAGUGAGCUUAAUCCAUGGUACUCUCCCCCAAAAGAAGCUAUUUAGAAACAAGGAAAGUUAUCUUGGCCAGAAACUGAGAUCCCUAUAAAGAAAAGAAAAUUAGAAAAAGAAUAUGUGAAGGUAAAAUAGUUUCUGUUCUUAUUUUUAAUGAUAUAACAGAUAAUAGUGGGUUCAAAAUAAUAAUAGCAAUAGUGUUUUUGAUUAUGUAUGUGUGUACAUGUACCUAUGAUUGUGUAUGCCUUUUUAUUUAAAUUAAACGUUUAUUUUAUUUAUUUAGUUUUAUGUGGUGCUGAAGAUGGAACCCACUGCCUCAUGCAUACUAGACAUGUACUCUACCGCUGAGCCACAACACCAGCCCUUGUGCAUGUUUAUGUAUAAGUAAAAUUAAUGAUAGCAAUAAUACCUGGGAUGUGAGAGAGGAAUUAGGAUUAUUCUGUUAAUACAAGGUUAAUUUCACUACCCCUGAUUCAGUAUGGAAUUAUCUGAAAGUAUGAUUAAUAAUUGUAUCUUGCAAUCUGUAGUGUAAACACUAAAAAAACAACAAAAAUUAUAAUUGAUACAUAAGAAAGAACAAACAUGUUAGCAUAUAAAUACUCAAACCCAUAAAUAACAAAAAAAGCUCAUGAGACAGAAAUGGGAAUGAAGAAUAAGGGCAACAAAUAGAGAACCAGUAAAAAAAAAAUAGGUUUUAAUGCAAACAUAUUAUCACUUUGAAUGUCAAUGGCCUAAAUACACCAAGUAAAAGAUAGAUUAUCAGAAGGGAUAAAAAAAUCCAAACACCAAGAAUAUUCUGUCUAUAAGAAACUCUAUUAAAUAUAAAAAUGCUUAAUAUUAGAAUGAUGUGACUUUAUACCCCUUUUUAAUUUUAAUAUUAGUCGAAUGAACAAUGGAAAAGAUAGAUGAAUUUCAAGCGGGGCUGACUCAACUACAAGGAAAGUAAACAUGGAUAAAGAUGUGAAUUAAAGAAUAUACGAGGCCAGUCAUUCAAGCAGACAUUACAAUCCUCAAUGUGGAUAUGUCAAAACAGUGAGGCUACAAUUGAAAGGACUGCAGGAGAAAUAGAUGUUCCACUAUUAUAUAUUAUAGUUGGAGACUUCAAUACCCCUUUACAAGAAAUGGAAAGUUCUGGAACAGCAGGCAGUAAAUUACUGAGGACAUAGUUAAAUAACAGUACCAUCAAUCAAGUGAAUAUAACUGACACCUACAUACUACUUUAUCCAAUGAUAGAUGAAUACACAUUUUCAAGCUCACAUGGAAUAGUCAUUGAAAAAAGACCACACUCUUUGCCAUAAAACAUUUCUUAACACAUUUGGAUAGUGGCAAUUAUUGUACAACACUGUUUAUAUUCUAAACCCCACAUAAUUGCAUAAUUUAAAAGGGUGAAUUUUAUGUUAUGUAAAUUUUAUCUCUAUUUUUUUUAAAAAGUGAAAAAAGAAGGAAGUAGAUAUGUUAGGCAGCCAGGCUGUGAAACCUCUGAGCAGAAUUCCCCUCACUGUGGCUCUUCCCUAGGAUGAGAAUGAAAACAAAGCCAAAGAAGAGUGGGAAAGUCAUGUAACUUUGGGAAGGCUGUACGCUGAAAAGAGUUAUUCGUGAUUAGAAAAUGAUGUCCACAGGAACAAAAAGGAUGGAAGUGUUGAAGGUCUCCUGAGCACGCUGCCCUUCAGAUCUGGAGAAGACAUUUCAGCAGCCCUCAUGACCCACAUCCGGAGAAACUGUCUUCUUCAGACUCUUGAUAGGAGCUCAGUCACCAGAGGAAGAGCUGUGCACUGGGACAGAAUCCAGAAAUUACUAUGCAUUUUUGGAGUAACCAUAUCCUUGGAAACAUGCUAGGCAAUGAAAUGAGCAUUCGUGAGCCCACGAUAUCCACAGAGCAAUGGGGCUUAACAUGUGUGUUAUCCCUGAAGGUCCCCGCAGUCCUGUGGCUGAGCACUCUUGCUCUCAUUUUACAGAGGAGAGACUGGGUUACAGAGGGCCGUUCCCUUUCUUACCAUCCAGCACCCCACCUUUACAAGGGACACCCUGGAGCAGGUCAUCACGCUGUCUGGGGCCAGGAGGGCCCCACGUCUUUCUCCCUUUCAUGUCAGCUCGGCAACGAGGCCCAGAGCAGGAAUGAGGCAACUUAGGUCUGUGAUCCCUUUGUGUCCCCACACUCCACGGAGGCUCAGUUCCUACCAAGAGGCACCCACACGCUCCACUGAGUCCAGAUACCUAGAGGCAGGACACUUCUCCCAAACCACAGCAAGUUGGUCUCCUUCAGAAUGUCAUCAUAGUCACCAUAAGGACAUCAGAUUUCUAUGGCAAUCAUGAUGCUCAGUUUGGUGCGCCUUACCAGAAAUGCCUCUUUCUAACAUAUAUAUAAUUUAUUUAUCUUAAUGUGGUGCUGAGGAAGGAACCCAGUGCUCACAUGUGAUAGGGGAGCACUCUAUCACUGAGCCCCAGCACCAGCCCCCAGAAAUACUGCUAAACAGGCCUCCUCUUUAUACCCCUCACCUUUCUCUGAAAGCAAAACUCCUUCUUCGUUCUUCAGGCCACCACUUGAGAAAGUGCACUAAUUAGAGGAGUUAGGCUCAGACACAAGUAAUGGAGAGAACUCUGCACACACCCUCAGAUGAGUCCAAACUCCUGAAGUAGGUCUAGGACACCCUGGCCCAGGGCACCACACUCCCUGAUUCCACAUCUCCCUCCCUUACCUGGCAGCUGAGCACUGAGUCCCAAAGCCAGAAGAAGGCACUAGUACAACUGGGUAGUGUUCAAAACAACAGAAGGUACAAUGGGCUUCUCACCAGGGCCUUUUCCUUCUCUUCUACUCAUCUCUCUUCCUCGAACAACAAAUCUGAAAAGGAGUAAGAAGUAGCUAAAUUCAUACAGGUAUUUAUGAUCCCACAAUAACCACAAAGAACACAUCAUGCUUCCUGGGACCAAGAGGAUCCCACAUCUCUUUCCCUCUCCAAUCAGUUGGGUCUUGUCUCCCAGCACAGGAACUAAGCUACAUGCAUCUGGGGUUCCUUUGUCUCCCCACACCCUAGGGAGGUUCAAACCCCACCAUGAGGCACCCACACACUUUGCUGAGUCCAAACACCUGGAGGUGGUACCGUGCUCUUGAACAAGUUGGUAGCCUUUAGCAUGUCCUCAUAGUCGACAUGAUGUUGUCAGGUUACUAUGGCAACCGUGAUACACAGGCUACUUCUAUACUCAGGAUAUGUUUUGCAUAGUCCUAUCUUCUGGACCUUCUUUCUCCUUUAAAGCAAAAUAACUUCAGGCCACCUGAGAAAGCCUACUAGUUAGGUAGAGUAUGUGGGGAUGCACGCAAUAGGGAGUGCUCUGCCCAGCUUGUUGGAAAAAAAAAAAAAACUGUGUGUUACUGGAAUUUUAUUGGCUUUAAAUGAAUUCACAAUCCUGGAGGGUUGGUGGAUAACUGUGAUCUCAGCUACUAUGAAGGCUGAGUAAGGAGAAUCCAAAAUUCAAAGGCAGCCUCAGCACCUUAGCCAGGCCUUAAGCAACGGAGUGAGAUACUGUCUCAAAAUUAAAAAUAAUGAUAAUAACAUUGUGUCCAAGUGAGAACUCAAUAACCUCCCUUUGAAGACAUUGAUGGUGCAGAUGAAAUACCAGUUUAGACUUCUGUAGGUGGUAAUGGGACUAGUAUGUGUGUCAAGGGUUUAUGAUUCCUGCCUCCUAUUUAUCUUCACUCUUCUUUCAUUUGGGGAUUAGUGGGAAACUAUUUCCCUAACAUCAAAUUAGAAUAUCAAAUAAGUGGACAGAAAAUGAUACGGAAUAAAUUAAAUGGUUUAAUCCUCUUUCUGGUUCUCAGGAAGGCCCUCCUGCAAUACUGAGAUGGCCCCAAGCUUGAUUCAUGAUGUAAAUGUGAAUAUUUGAUGCUGCUUUCUGCUAAAUUUCCCAGUAGUCUCCAGGGCAGGUGUGCUCUUUGGUUUGGAUAACUGUAGUCACUUCUCUGGGAGAGGAGAAAUUUAAGGCAGGACAAACAUUGGCUGAAAUCUAACUUCAUACCAUGUACUCUAAAGAGGAUUUCUCACUGACACAUUUUGUAAGGAGGGCAUAGUGAGUCCCCUUUCACAAAUGAUCAAGUUUAGACCAAUAAUGGCUAAGGAAGAAUUCCAGUGCCACACAUCAAGUAGCAGGAAUGGGAUCACACAGUUACUCUCAUUGAAAUGUCACAUGCAUUCUCAACAGGAUGAUACUACACACAAGAGGCUUCAAACAGGUUCUCAGGGGUAGGGGGAUGCUACAUAUUAUAAUGUUUUGCGACACUACAAAGAACCAGAACACAGAGUUAACAGUCCAUCUAUGAUAUAAACAUUUCAUAUUCUGGGCAGUGUUGAGAGCCACAGCCGAAGGGGGUUUUUCCUGAAGAGCUGUGUGGUGUGGUGUGUGUGUUCUAAAAAUAAAGUUCGUUUCUUUUGACAAGUGGCUUCUGAAUUGUGCCCAGCCAGACUGCGGCAGGGCAGAAUGUUUACAAAGAUGAAAAUGUCUAAAUGGGGAGAUAAUAAAAUGAUGAAAAGUGUUAUAUCCCCAAAGACUUCACAUUGAUGAUGGGCCACUAGGGCUUAAUGAUAUUGGACAGAGAGUAAAUCGAAAUAACAGGUGUUUCCUCUAAACAGAUGAUCUGGAAGAUAAGAUUUAAAUUUUUAAAACUAAUAUAACAAAAUGAUACCCUAAAUAUUAUCUCCUCCAACCUGAAUCUUUAUUUAAGUAAUUUGUUAUUAAAUCUAUACUUCAGAUUUGAAAAAAAAAAAAAAAGUGACGCAGGACUGAUCACACACUUACCUGGGAAUGAAAGUGGGUUUAUUGUCAGGAGCCUUACAGAGCUGCUCUGUACAAAGAGAGGGACAGCAGCAGUAAGCGAGGGACAGCAGUAGCAACUCCCCCUUGAAUGUUACCUUUUGUAGGCUAGAAUCAUGGUCGCGCACCAGGGGCAGGUUUAGUGUUGACGGAUAUAGUAAGCAUCCCCUGAUCUUGUGGAAGGCAAGUUUGUUUCUUGGGAACAGAGACAGGCAGUUUUCCUAUCUCUCAGAGGGGGAACAGGGAAACCAGAAUGUCCCCAUCUCAGGGGCCAGUAAGUUGUCUCCUAUCCCUCAAUGAGAGAACAGGGAGAGACAGCAUGUCUCCAGGCGGAUAGGUUUUAUCUCGGGCUACUUUCGAUAUCUUGGGAAUGAGAACAGUAUUCAUAAAGUGGAUGUGGGAGAAAGGAAGAUGGCUGUAAUUAUGGUAACAAGAUUGGGUUGUGGGAAGUUGGGAAAGCUCAAUUCAAUCAUUAAAACUGUGUUGUUGAUGCCUGCUCAGUAGUGGAGCCUGGAAUCUCACUAAAGCUUUGUGUCCCGAUGCUGCCAAGAAUCUGAGUGCUCUGAUCUCCCUGGAAAAGCACAUUCCAGGAUGCAUCACAAAAAUCAGGAUGCUGGCCUUUCCUUCAAGUGAAAUGACACAACCCAUAAAAUAAGAGUGCAUAAAUCCAAAGUGAUAAAAACAAAUAUCUGAGUUAAUAAAGAAAUGGGAAAUAAGAGACAAACUAGCUUCAUCCAAUAAUGCCAGAUAACAUAUGCAGCUACCUGCCCUCCAUAUUAAUUCUCAUCCCAACUCCUGAGGGGAGAACUGACUUAGUGACUCACUUGUGAAGACAACAGUAAGCAGAUAGAACACAGUCACUGUCCACUUGAGAACCUUGGCAAACAUCACCUUAACCAAGUGAUGAAGGUUAGCAUCACCAGCGAUUUUAUGUGAAUAUCCUGUCCUCCCAGAGAGAAUGUGAUGAGGAGGCACUUCACAUCUCUGAUAUUUCCCCUUAAAACCCAUGGUCUAAACAGGAGGAAAACAACAGACUAAGUUGGUGAUCCUCAAGGCUGCCAAGGUCAUGAAAACCCUCUGGCAGUGGUUCUCACCAUUAAACAGGGAGUUUUCAUGUGUCAUCAAUUGCACUCCUAGGCAAACAACCAAAAUAAAUGAAAACCCAUGUCUACAUAUAAACUGACACAGGAACGUAUGUAGCAUCAUCAUCUUUCAUAACAGCCAAAAAGUGGAAAUAACCCACGUGUUUUCCUCUUCAUAAAUGGACAAAUAAAAUGGAGUACUAUAUUUUUCAUCAAUUAAAGGAAUGGAAUACUAAUAUGUUAUAAUAGGGAUGAACCGUGAAAACAGGUGAAGAAGCAAGAAGCAAAAGACCAAGCAUUGUGUGGUUCCAUUUGUAUAAAAUGUAUGGAAUAUGCAAAUCUGGAGACACAGACAUGCAUUUCUUGGGGCUGAGGUUAGGAUCAGGGUUUAACUGUGUUGAGAAUGAUGCCACAUUAUAGGGUGAUGGAAAUAUCUAACACUCUGUUCCUCAACUUUAUACCAAAAACCAUCAAGCUGUACCUUUAGAAGGAGUACAUGGAUAAUUAUAUUGUUUUUAAAUUAUACUGCAAGAAAUCUGUUAAAAAUACAAUAUUGGUGUGAGCUUCUGUUGUAUUGCAAAACACUCAAACUUUGUUCUUACCAUGUUUUGAUGCACAUGUAUUUGAUAAACAUGAAUAUAAAUAAAACUGCGGCUGUAUCCUA